CCCUAGCCCUGAUAGGAACGGUUACCCCGCAGUUGACGUUGGAAAGUUUGAGAGUGGGAGGGCUUUAGAAUUGGGGAGGAUUGGAAGGAUGGAACGAGGAGUAAAAGUGGAUAGCAGGAUAAGCU
Molecule: unclassified non-coding RNA, 125 nt
Filed under: Chryseobacterium wanjuense
Lineage: Bacteria; Pseudomonadati; Bacteroidota; Flavobacteriia; Flavobacteriales; Weeksellaceae
Description: Flavo-1 RNA
Source: RNAcentral